AGUCGAACGCUUCUUUUUCCACCGGAGCUUGCUCCACCGGAAAAAGAAGAGUGGCGAACGGGUGAGUAACACGUGGGUAACCUGCCCAUCAGAAGGGGAUAACACUUGGAAACAGGUGCUAAUACCGUAUAACAAUCAAAACCGCAUGGUUUUGAUUUGAAAGGCGCUUUCGGGUGUCGCUGAUGGAUGGACCCGCGGUGCAUUAGCUAGUUGGUGAGGUAACGGCUCACCAAGGCCACGAUGCAUAGCCGACCUGAGAGGGUGAUCGGCCACAUUGGGACUGAGACACGGCCCAAACUCCUACGGGAGGCAGCAGUAGGGAAUCUUCGGCAAUGGACGAAAGUCUGACCGAGCAACGCCGCGUGAGUGAAGAAGGUUUUCGGAUCGUAAAACUCUGUUGUUAGAGAAGAACAAGGAUGAGAGUAACUGUUCAUCCCUUGACGGUAUCUAACCAGAAAGCCACGGCUAACUACGUGCCAGCAGCCGCGGUAAUACGUAGGUGGCAAGCGUUGUCCGGAUUUAUUGGGCGUAAAGCGAGCGCAGGCGGUUUCUUAAGUCUGAUGUGAAAGCCCCCGGCUCAACCGGGGAGGGUCAUUGGAAACUGGGAGACUUGAGUGCAGAAGAGGAGAGUGGAAUUCCAUGUGUAGCGGUGAAAUGCGUAGAUAUAUGGAGGAACACCAGUGGCGAA
RNAcentral lists this ribosomal RNA (688 nucleotides) under uncultured bacterium. RNAcentral describes it as "bacterial SSU rRNA". It matches the Rfam family "Bacterial small subunit ribosomal RNA", at positions 60 to 719 of the family's 1533-position model. The record is from RNAcentral.